CCCAAUGUGUGUCCACAGGGAUCUGGAUGGGACACCUUCGAGCACUGUGACAGCAAGCAGGGAGGGACGGAGCCACACAUGCCAGGCAUGGCUGCUGGAACUGAGCCAAGAUAUUGGGAUAGCAUGACCUGGAUCAACAAGGUGAACCAGUGUGUGGCUGCUGGGAACCUGGAGAUGAUGGAGGGGGGUGCAAUCAGGGUGGAGGUGAGUGGGGGGAGCCAGGGUGUUCCAUGGCAUGGGGUCUGUCAGGUAGAAUGGGAUCCAUAGGGCUGGGCUGGGAUGUGUGAAGCUUCACAGGGCUGGGCAUGAGAUUCCUGGGGCUCUGUUGGGCUGGGACAUGAAACCAUGGGUCCAUUCCCCUUUCCAAGUCCCCACAGGCUGCAGCCACUUUCUGGCUGUGACCUCCUGUCCGAUGAGAGCAUCUGCAGAACCCUCUGGUCCGGAACAAUUUGUGGGAAUUCCUCUCCUUCACCCUGGAGACCAGGAGCUUUGUGGUGGCCAAGGGCGCCGCCCAGAUCACCCAGAAAUCCAAAUCCAGAAACUGGAAAUCCAAAGGGUACAAGGCUCAUUUGCAUGACCUGGGACAGACCUGUGUGGAAUGGCUCUGGAAUUAUACUGGAUACAGAUGGGAGGCACAAAGACCCUGUCUGUGAAGAGAAGGCCCUCAGGAGAGCCAGAGGAAGCUGAAAGAUGAAGCAUCCUUGCCGUAAGGAAGGGAUGAAAGUGUGGGGCCUGAUGGAACCAAGGGACCACUGUUUGGUCUCAUGGAACCAAAAAUCCAUUGUGACAGUAUGGGACCUUGAGGAACCCAUUGUGCAUUGGGAAGAUGCAGAUCCAAGGAGACUAUGACCUGGCUCCGUGUUUAUGCAAAGCUUUUGUACUAAUCAUGGCAUCAAGGAGAUCAUUGUGACACAGCAGGGCUGUAUGGAACCAAGAGUCCAUUGAGACACUUUGGAACUACGGAGACCAUUGCUGACAGUACAGAACAUCAUGGAACCAAAAAUCCAUUGUGGCAGAUCAAGACCUCAUGGAACCAAAAAGAGCACUGUGACACUGUGGGGCCCCAUGGACCCAAAUCUCCACUGUGACAGUCCGGAACCUCCUGGAACCAAGGGGCCUUUGUGACACUGCAAGGCCUCAGGGAACCAAGAAGUCCAAAGGUCUCAAACAUGCCCUGCAGGGUUCUGCCUUGGAGAUGGGGAACCUCCUUGGUGACACCUUGGGCUGGUACAGACAUGAGGAGUGUGUCUGUUUGGGGAAAGUUAGGAGCUUUAGAUUGAUUCCAAAAACACAGGAAAACCCCUGUUUGCCUGAGUGCACUUGGCCAGUUCUCCAAGCAAAGCACAUCCCAAGUGACUGAGGACAGACAGGAUGGGGUUGGGGAAUGUGGAGCAAGGUUGUCCACACUGGGUUAGACCUCAAGGUACAGCUUCUCUGAGCAGACCAGACCUCCUGAGGAGAGACCCUGCAUCAAUAUCAAUCACAGAAUGCUGCAAUCACCUCUGCUCUAAACAGAAAAAGCAAUAAAAGACAGCCUUCAAAAUAGCAAUAUGUAUUUAUUAGAAGAUCUCGUAAUAUUUCUCCAUAACUGGAUUUGAAAACCUUCCCAUGAACUGCACUGCACCAGAGGGAAAUCAAGGCAGAGCCAUGGUUUGUCAGGACUUGCUUGAUCCCAGUGAGCCCUGUGGUGCAUUUGGUGCUGAGCCCUGGAACCUCAGGGCCUGAAAGGAGAUUGCACAAACCUUUCCAUGAGUCCAGUUCAGAAGAAAAACCCAAAAUGUCUCAAAGCAUUAAUGGGUCCUACUGAGGUCCAUCCCCAAUGCAGACUCCUCAUGGAUUCCUUGGAGGAGAGAACUGGAGGCCAGAAUUGCCAAAAAACCUCUCAUAGAGUCAGAGAAGAAAGGAAAAAGGAAAGUACCUUAGAAAACAGAAGUAACUUGAAGCAUUAAUGAGCCCCACUGAGUGUUGUUACUGACAAAGGCUCUCAAGGGACUAAUU
Catharus ustulatus (Swainson's thrush) is the source of this 1998-nucleotide long non-coding RNA. NCBI's taxonomy places the organism in Eukaryota, Metazoa, Chordata, Aves, Passeriformes, Turdidae. The record is from Ensembl.